Non-coding RNA from Oryza sativa Japonica Group (Japanese rice), 3501 nucleotides. The record is from RefSeq and is a predicted model, not a curated record. NCBI's taxonomy places the organism in Eukaryota, Viridiplantae, Streptophyta, Magnoliopsida, Poales, Poaceae.
UUAAAAAAAUUUCUAUAGCAAAGUUAUUUAAAAAACAAAAAAAAUCCAUUUUUAAUGUUUAUAAUAGUUAAUAUUAAAUUAAUCAUCUCUUAACGAGCUUUCUCGUUUCGCGUUUAUGAAAAAAAUUUCCUCCAAACGUUUGCAAAGAACAUGCUUGCAAUUUUAUAACCCAUACACAAUUUAUUUAUGACUCAUAUUGGGUUUAUUCUAAUGUUAUAAUGUUUAACAUUGAUUGACAAAAUUGGUUGGAUGUUGACUAUUUGUGGAAGGAAUUUUUUUUAACGAGCCACAAGUAAUUAAUUUGGGACUAGAAUGACACAUUGUAACAAGUUGUAGGACUUAUAUCCAUGAGCAUGUGGGCUAUCCCUUAAAAAAUAGGAUCAUCCUAUUCCUCAUAGCAAAUGGAUAUAGAUGAAACGUACCAUCUCAUCCAAAAAUAGGGGUGAGUCCAACAAAUCUCAUUUUGUUACUGAACCAAACAUAUGUCUAGAUAACAUAGACGAGCAAAUUUUGGGGUUUGCCAUGCACUUUACUCUGCUUUGUCAGGAUUCAUAAAAAGAAUAACAUAUAACUUAAGGACUAUAUAAAAGGUUCUACCAAAUAAAAAGGAUAGCUGAAAAAAGGGUGGGAAGUGGGAAGCCGACAACUUCUCGACGAGGCCAUGUAGUUACAUUACAUACAUGGAAAUGGGAUGCAUCGUGAACCACAAGAGUGCACUGGCAGCGUGUCCAUCAUCCAAGAUCUCCCGUGUACCAGUGCUUUCGUUGCGAAGUGUUAACUGUAACAGAAAUGCCUCAACGAAUCCCUGGAGAUCAACAAUGUAAACAGUGUUAGAGGACGACCUGAAAAAAAGGAUGCUCUCAGAUCUCUGCACGUUGGAAGCUGCAUGGCUGUUAUAGCACUCACUGAAUUGUUAGUAGUGGGAGAACAAAACGUUGCCAUAGAAACAGUAUUUGAGAGGUACAGUAAAUAGGACUAUUUGAUGUCCAUCAAUCUACAACACCCUUCUUACUACAUGCAUCCAAAUAAUUAGAUUCAGUUUUCUUAUGACCUGAACAUGGUAUUACACUGGCACUGGCUUGACGCCUGACGCAAGAGCCAGACAGUACCGUGGUGCAUAUUGAUGCAGCAAGACAGGGAUGGAGACUGCUACAAACCCUGAACCUGAACUUUCGAAAUUGUGGGUUCCUAGAUGUUGGUUGUCCCAGGCAUGCAUCAUAUGCAUAGAGUAUAUUUUUGCAUGGAAGGGAUCUCCUGUAAAGGGGACUUAUUUGGAGAACUGUGGAUGGUACAACUAUUUUUAGAUAAUGGAAGUUCUAUUGGUCUCAGUCAAUUACAUCAAAGUGACCCAAUUAUCCUAAGAACACUCUCAGCCUCUGCAUAGCUAAGAUGCACACAGCUAAAACACACUAAAAGAAAGACAUCAACAGUAGUAUUAAGGACCAUCAAUUCUGAGACUAGAUCGCCACUCAUGUUUCCGGGUAAAACAAUCCUUGAGGAUGGUACAACUAUUGAUGUAAAGAAUGAUAAUUGGAUCCCUAGGAUUGGAGUGGACUGCUUAAACCACUGGGUUUAAGGCAAAAUAAUGGUGUAAUCAAAGUUAACGAUCUCUUUCCCCCAGUAACAAAAGACAAUGGAGUAUGGAAAGUUAACCACUGGUUCCUUUUACUUCAGCUGUACCCGUAGCAUCUAAUUUUUGCAACUACUACUUACAACCACAAGUUUUGCCAGCAUGCGCAUAUUAAAUGACAUUCAAGUUAUGGACUUGACAAGGGUGUGUAAUCAUCCAUUAUUUAUACAUGGUAUGUCCUAGUUCCUGGAAAGAUUAAAGAGAGAACCAAGAGGCGAGAAUUGGCUGGCUGAGAACUUCACAAUAAGAUAAAGUUACUAUACCGUGAGAUUCAUGGAUUACUACUUGCCAAUUUGGCCUGCAUGUACCUCAGCUACAAACAUAGGAAUGGGAAGAAUUGGGAAUCAAAGGAACACACCGUGAGUUUGAGAAUCUCAUCUAAGCCUAAACUAGUAUCCAUGUAGAUUUAGAGAAGUCGUGAUAGAGUAAAAUCUAUCUGAUUUCACUGUUUAGGGCAUGUACUAAGGGAGAGUCAGGUGUGAGCUCUAUAUCAUCAAAGGCUAUUAUCUUACCGCAGUUGAGACAACCAUUAAUGUACCAAAAUAAUCUUAUCUUUCUCUUCUUUCCUUUCUUUCAAACCACAUCCAACAAAAUAUUUUCUAAUAAAUGUUAAGAGUCGACUCUGAACUAGUGUUAUGCGUAAUGAUCAUGUUUCUCUUUCCAUCCCUCUCUUUGUUCCAUGUCAUCAAAUUUAUUUGCACGAUAAUAGCGAGAGCCCACUAGUAAAGACCAUCGUACAUACCCUAACGCAACCAGCUCUUUCCAUGGGCUCUUAGCAAGUGAGCACAAAGUUCCGAGGAAAGCCAAUGGAAGUUAAAAGAUUUCGAUCGACUGUAGCCUCCUGUAUGCCAGCUAGCGGGCGGACGAGUUGAUCGGUUAGAUCUGCACUCAUAUGGAAAGGUGCCUGUCGUCCCUUUUUUCGUUCCUUAUUUUUUGUUCACGUUAAUUUUUUGUUUUCCCUCCUAUAUUUUGUAUUUUGUGUAUAUAAAUGCCUUGGAAAUUUUGUUCCGCAUAUAUGAACUUUUGACACAUCUAUAUAUAUACAUAUAUGCAUAUAUAGGCACACCCAAUGAAAUUUCCGUAAGUAUAUUACAUCUGAGUAGUUUUGAAGGCAAUCAAGUAUAUUCAUCCACAGGAAGCCAAGCAUACACUACAAUUAUGUGCAUGAAUACAUUUUUUAGAUAAUGAUGUGUAAUACGUACUGGCAGAUAAAAGGGGACUUGACAGAGGACAGAAAACAUUCAGAACUACAAACGGGUUUGGAGCUCAGACAUGAGAGACACAAACAACACUUUUAGUAUACACAUGCAUAAGGCAUACAAAUUAAGGAUUGGAUCAUUGGAAGGUAUCGGCAAUCAAGCUAGUUGCUUUGCAAUUUCUAACAGCUUCCCCACUACAAAAAGAGGCAGUAUUUAGGUAGCUAAAUCUUGCUGGUUUACUACAUUUUAGGCUGGUUUCUAUCUCAACUGGCUAGUGUGUUUUAUGUUCAAGCGAAUGCACUAUGGAGGGUGCGUGCAUGAUGCUGUCAGGCGCCUUGCAACUAUAUUACCCUGGCAUCUGCUUGAGUAAGCUCCAUUACAAGAAUCUAUCAUCAACGGUAGCACCGAUUUCCGAUAAAUUGAUCUGUCUUGUACAGAUCCGCUGAUCAAGAAACUUUCAUGUGCGAAGAAGAUCAGGGGGUACAAAAGAGAUAUCUGAAAAGUUUAUUCAAGACAAAUGAGAUCGUGCAGGAUACAACCAUUAGAAAUUUAGAAUUUAGCCAGGAUAUAAUUAACUUGAUAGUUGACAUGGCCAUAAUACCAAGUAUGCUUGUAGAAACAAUUUUUUCAGUGUUCUCCACUGAUGAUAUAAUCAAUUUAGACCUUCCAUCU